UACGUAGGUGGCAAGCGUUGUCCGGAUUUAUUGGGCGUAAAGCGAGCGCAGGCGGUUCCUUAAGUCUGAUGUGAAAGCCCACGGCUCAACCGUGGAAGGUCAUUGGAAACUGGGGAACUUGAGUGCAGAAGAGGAGAGUGGAAUUCCAUGUGUAGCGGUGAAAUGCGUAGAUAUAUGGAGGAACACCAGUGGCGAAGGCGACUCUCUGGUCUGUAACUGACGCUGAGGCUCGAAAGCGUGGGGAGCAAACAGGAUUAGAUACCCU
This 265-nucleotide ribosomal RNA is filed under the name uncultured prokaryote. RNAcentral's name for it is "partial 16S ribosomal RNA". It matches the Rfam family "Bacterial small subunit ribosomal RNA", at positions 524 to 788 of the family's 1533-position model. The record is from RNAcentral.